AGCGGGUCCCAGCUGACGGAAGCUGACAAGUUUAUUUAAUCCCUGAACCUGGAUCCAAGGCAUCUCCCUGUAGAAAACAUCAGACCGGGGCAGAGAUUGACAAAGCAACCCAAAGCAGCAGCUGCCAACGGCCGCUGUGCCCACCUCAUCAGCAGCUAAAGAGUAUAAUUUUAAAAAAAGUCACAGAAGAAUGUGGAGACACUUAGCAAAACGGACUCUCAUAAGCAUUAUUUGGCCAUAUGAUUAAACUCCAG
Molecule: long non-coding RNA, 254 nt
Filed under: Homo sapiens (human)
Lineage: Eukaryota; Metazoa; Chordata; Mammalia; Primates; Hominidae
Description: HSALNT0335844
Source: RNAcentral